Molecule: transfer RNA, 71 nt
Filed under: Stegodyphus mimosarum
Lineage: Eukaryota; Metazoa; Arthropoda; Arachnida; Araneae; Eresidae
Rfam family: tRNA
About the family: Transfer RNA (tRNA) molecules are approximately 80 nucleotides in length.
Source: Rfam by way of RNAcentral
GCCUUCGUGGUGUAAUGGUAGCACACUCGGUCCGCAUUCUAGAGGUCCAGGUUCGACUCUCGAUGAAGGCA